UGCCUCCCUGGAACGUCUAUCUCACCCAGGAUCACAAAUAUUCAAUGGGAAAACACCUUGCUUGGACCUGCCUCACGAACCCGGACCCCAGUCACAUGGCCUGUAUCUGGCCUCCCAGAUGUUCCGUCACGGGCCUAUAAAAAGAAUACUUAGAUGCGACAUUCUGCAGGCAAAAAUAUGGACUGCUAUCAACGGCAUAUUCUGCCGUUUCACAUCCAAUUCAUCUGAAGGGUCCACUCGUCCCUCCCUCUCUCGGGGACAGGAGGAAAAAAAGUUGCUUUCGCGCUUCCAAGAUUGCCGUAAUCUGCCCUGGAGAGAACAAAGGGGUAUGAGUUAUUGGCUCUGUUUUCUACUUGAGGCAACCGUAUCUCUGAGAGAUUAAACGGCUCACUGUGUCACCGGGCUCGAGGGGCCUCGGGAAGCAGAGCCAGCUCGUCACUCCCUCCCCGUCCUCCCCCGCCCCCCCCUCCACCGUCCUGCCCUGCCUGCUAAAGCACUUGUGCUGCCUUCUGUCGGCAGUCACGUCAUUUGGACCAAAUGCAGACCAACCCCUCAGGACGGUGAACAUCCAGGCAGCCUCCACGAUUCAGCUGAACGGGGUCAAGAUGAUUGAAGUUCGCUCGUGUCCAGUGAGGAUCCAAACAAAAGCAACAGCGAACGACAGCGCCUUCCAUCAUCCCGGCAGCAGAUGCUUCUGGGGAUGAGCGUGUGGGCAAGAGGUUGCCGCACGCCGGGUCUCCUCACCUUUGCUCGGAAAACCGGCCACUCUUACAAAGGCACACGCGUCCAGAUUCCCAGGGGGCAGUGACGAGAGCGCCCCACGCACUGGAAAGAAUGAACGUCCUUGAGGUCGCCUCCGCCCCCUCCCUGCUUUGCGGCAAAGAGCACACCCACCCUUCGAGGCUGGCUGGCAGUCACCUCCAUCCCGCGAAGAUGCUGGUCAGUAUCCAAAUGACCCCUCUACUUGGAAGCCCUCAGCUCGGCUCAGCCUGGAGACCGUUGCUAUGUGUGGGGAAGGCUUCUCCCCCAAGCGCUGAAUGCAAGAGCAGGAGGCGAAUGUGCCGUGCCAGGGGACGUCCCCGUGGAGCUGGCUUUUGGAUUAUUGAAAAGGGAACAACAGUGCAUCUGGCCAGGACUGAAACCUUCCGAAAGAGAGCCGGAGAAGUUGCGGGGUGGGGAAAAGGCAGGCCCUUCUGGAAUAAAAGGAAGGGUAGCAGUGUCCAAGUUGGGUGUUCGAGGGUCUCCUCUGAACCGAGAGAGCCGGAUUUCGAAGCCUGCCUUUGUAAUACUGAGCAGUGAUGGAGAGGAAGGAGGAAGCCUAGGGCUGGAGCUUCCAGGGCCCAGGUCACAGGAGCACAGACAAAGACGCUCUCCUGACCUCUGUCACCCUGCACCCAGCUCCGCUCUCUGGGCCGGACUUGCCCACAAAGCUCCCGGGAACAGAAGCGCGUCAAGUGGAGGAAAAUCCUUCCUGUCCUCUGGCCUUGUGCUCAGACAGGCAGCCCCAAGGACCCCCCACCCUGCUGCAGUGCCCAGAGAUGGGUGAGGAUCCCACCCACCCAGACGGAGCCCUUCCCCUGGGCCCGGGGAGCUCAGGCUGGCAGGCAGAGUCCAGCAGCUAAGCUGUUCCUGGGCUGCCUUAGCCAGAAGAAAGCUUGGUCUGCUCAAGAUGGCUCUCCACCCCCCAGCCCUCCGAUGCGCCGAUCCCUGCGGCCCCAUCCCCGUCACCCUGUUCUCACUCACAGCCUUACAGCUACCCCCCCCCUCCCACUUGUGAGGGCACUUAGCCCAGGCAGAAGCCGCAAGCAAAGAUCACUCGGACCGCAAAGGCCUCGCAACACUCACUGUCUCCGUUAUCAAAGCUGCCCUGGGUCCAUUCUCUGAGCUGGAGCAGCUUAAAAAAAUAAAUCUGUGCCAGUGAGUUAAUAGAACUCCUCC
Molecule: long non-coding RNA, 1938 nt
Filed under: Felis catus (domestic cat)
Lineage: Eukaryota; Metazoa; Chordata; Mammalia; Carnivora; Felidae
Description: lncRNA (ENSFCAG00000049087.1)
Source: RNAcentral